This 194-nucleotide ribosomal RNA is filed under the name Malus domestica (apple). RNAcentral describes it as "rRNA MD02G0033900". It matches the Rfam family "Bacterial large subunit ribosomal RNA", at positions 2433 to 2620 of the family's 2925-position model. Lineage: Eukaryota; Viridiplantae; Streptophyta; Magnoliopsida; Rosales; Rosaceae. The record is from RNAcentral.
GAUGAAAAUCCUUUAAUCAUCUUAUUGAUAAAAGUUACUCUAAGGAUAACAGGUUGAUCUUCCCUAAGAGCUCACAUCAACAGAAAGGUUUGGCACCUCGAUGUUGGUUCUUCGCCACCUAGGGCUGUAGUAUGUUCCAAGGGUUAGGAUGUUCACCCAUAAAGCGAUAUUUGAGCUGGUGAGUUGAUUUCAUC